RNAcentral lists this long non-coding RNA (345 nucleotides) under Struthio camelus australis. Its description in RNAcentral is "lncRNA (ENSSCUG00000014674.1)". Lineage: Eukaryota; Metazoa; Chordata; Aves; Struthioniformes; Struthionidae. The record is from RNAcentral.
AGAUUUUUGUAUCUUUGCUGCACCUCGAAGCCAGGGCAAGUACUGGGCAGAUGCAUCUUUGGCAGAGGUGGACAAGGCUAACCCAAAAUGGAGAGAGAGAUCCCUUUUGAUGUCCCUGCAACGUUGAACAAGCAGGAUGAAUAGUCACCCUCGAGAACGCAGGGCAUGUGGUGACCAACUGAUUUGGUUCAAGCUGGCCAAUGCGUUUUGUUACGUGUGCAUGACUUUUUUAAAGCAAAAGGCAAUAAAGCAGUUAAAAAAUUUGCAGUAUCAGUGACGUAAGUAGCAAAAGAGUCAAAAAUUUUUUAAAGAAAAUAAAUUUCCUUUGUUCAACUGCCUGUGACA